RNAcentral lists this ribosomal RNA (458 nucleotides) under Bacteroidetes bacterium oral taxon 272. RNAcentral's name for it is "bacterial SSU rRNA". It matches the Rfam family "Bacterial small subunit ribosomal RNA", at positions 28 to 475 of the family's 1533-position model. The record is from RNAcentral. Lineage: Bacteria; Pseudomonadati; Bacteroidota.
GAUGAACGCUAGCUACAGGCUUAACACAUGCAAGUCGUGGGGCAUCAUGAUGUAGUAAUACAUUGAUGGCGACCGGCGCACGGGUGAGUAACGCGUAUCCAACCUACCCUCCACUCAAGUAUAGGCUUCCGAAAGGGAGAUUAAUCCUUGAUAUCGUCAUUCUCUCUCCUGUUAGAAUGAUAAAAGGACAUCGUUUCGGUAGAGGAUGGGGAUGCGUUCCAUUAGGUAGUAGGUGGUUUAACAGGCCACCUAGCCGAUGAUGGAUAGGGGUUCUGAGAGGAAUGUCCCCCACACUGGUACUGAGAUACGGACCAGACUCCUACGGGAGGCAGCAGUGAGGAAUAUUGGUCAAUGGGCGCAAGCCUGAACCAGCCAUGUAGCGUGAAGGAUGACGGUUUUUUUGAUUGUAAACUUCUUUUCUGUGCGAUUAAAGUGUGGCAUUUAUGCCAUAUUGCAGU